UGAGGAUAUUGCGCAAUGGGCGAAACCCUGACGCAGCAACGCCGCGUGGAUGAUGAAGUUCUUCGGAAUGUAAAAUCCUUUUGUCAGGGACGAACAUGCUGAUUAUCGGCACUGACGGUACCUGACGAAUAAGCCACGGCUAACUCUGUGCCACCAGCCGCGGUAAU
This 167-nucleotide ribosomal RNA is filed under the name uncultured bacterium. Its description in RNAcentral is "partial 16S ribosomal RNA". It matches the Rfam family "Bacterial small subunit ribosomal RNA", at positions 356 to 524 of the family's 1533-position model. The record is from RNAcentral.